GACGGAGGGGGCUAGCGUUGUUCGGAAUUACUGGGCGUAAAGAGUGCGUAGGCGGUUUAGUAAGUUGGAAGUGAAAGCCCGGGGCUUAACCUCGGAAUUGCUUUCAAAACUACUAAUCUAGAGUGUAGUAGGGGAUGAUGGAAUUCCUAGUGUAGAGGUGAAAUUCUUAGAUAUUAGGAGGAACACCGGUGGCGAAGGCGGUCAUCUGGGCUACAACUGACGCUGAUGCACGAAAGCGUGGGGAGCAAACAGGAUUAGAUACCCUGGUAGUCCACGCCGUAAACGAUGAGUGCUAGAUAUCGGGAGAAUCUCUCUCGGUUUCGCAGCUAACGCAUUAAGCACUCCGCCUGGGGAGUACGGUCGCAAGAUUAAA
RNAcentral lists this ribosomal RNA (373 nucleotides) under uncultured bacterium. RNAcentral's name for it is "bacterial SSU rRNA". It matches the Rfam family "Bacterial small subunit ribosomal RNA", at positions 524 to 898 of the family's 1533-position model. The record is from RNAcentral.